UGAUGACGAGACGCUAAGGCGUUGAAGCAGUGUAUGUCAGACUUCCAAGAAAAGCUUGCACUGUCAUAAACAAAGAAUGCCUGUACCAUAACCGACACAGGUGGGUAGGUAGAGUAUACUAAGGGGCGCGAGAUAACUCUCUCUAAGGAACUCGGCAAAAUGACUCCGUAACUUCGGGAGAAGGAGUGCCUUAUUUAUAAGGUUGCAAUAACAAGAUCCAAGCAACUGUUUAUCAAAAACACAGGUCUCCGCUAAGUCGUAAGACGAUGUAUGGGGGCUGACGCCUGCCCAGUGCCAGAAGGUUAAAGAAGUUGGUUAGUGUAUGCGAAGCUGAUGACUGAAGCCCUGGUGAACGGCGGCCGUAACUAUAACGGUCCUAAGGUAGCGAAAUUCCUUGUCGGGUAAGUUCCGACCCGCACGAAAGGCGUAAUGAUUUGGAUACUGUCUCGGAGAGAGGCUCGGUGAAAUAGACUUGUCUGUGAAGAUGCGGACUACCUGCACCAGGACAGAAAGACCCUAUGAAGCUUUACUGUAACUUGAAAUUGGAAUUGGACUUUGCUUGCGCAGUAUAGGUGGGAAGCGUUGAAAAUAUUCUUGCGGGAGUAUUGGAGCUAUCAGUGAGAUACCACUCUUGUAAUGUUAGAUUUCUAACUUUGAACCAUAAUCUGGUCAAAGAACAGUUUCAGGUGGGCAGUUUGACUGGGGCGGUCGCCUCCCAAAUGGUAACGGAGGCGUACAAAGGUUUCCUCUGAACGGAUAGAAAUCGUAUCUAGAGUGUAAAGGCAUAAGGAAGCUUGACUGUGAGACCUACAAGUCGAGCAGGGACGAAAGUCGGUCUUAGUGAUCUGACGGUACUGAGUGGAAAGGCCGUCACUCAACGGAUAAAAGUUACUCUAGGAUAACAGGCUGAUCUCCCCCAAGAGUUCACAUCGACGGGGAGGUUUGGCACCUCGAUGUCGGCUCAUCGCAUCCUGGGGCGGUAGUACGUCCCAAGGGUUGGGCUGUUCGCCCAUGAAAGCGGUACGCGAGCUGGGUUCAGAACGUCGUGAGACAGUUCGGUCCAUAUCCGGUGUAGGCGCUAGAAUAUUGAGAGGAGCCUUCUUUAGUACGAGAGGACCGAGAAGGACACACCGCUGGUGUACCAGUUAUCGUGCCAACGGUAAACGCUGGGUAGCUAUGUGUGGAGUGGAUAACCGCUGAAAGCAUCUAAGUGGGAAGCCCACCUCGAGAUGAGUA
This 1236-nucleotide ribosomal RNA is filed under the name metagenome. RNAcentral describes it as "bacterial LSU rRNA". It matches the Rfam family "Bacterial large subunit ribosomal RNA", at positions 1564 to 2810 of the family's 2925-position model. The record is from RNAcentral.